CCCUUAGAUGUCCUGGGCCGCACGCACGCUACACUGAACGGAUCAGCGCGUUUUCCCUUCCCGAGAGGGACGGGUAACCUGCUGAACCCCGUUCGUGGUAGGGAUCGGGGCUUGCAAUUAUUCCCCGUGAACCAGGAAUGCCCAGUAAGUGCAAGUCAUAAGCUUGCGUUGAUUACGUCCCUGCCCUUUGUACACACCGCCCGUCGCUACUACCGAUUGAACGUUUUAGUGAGGUACUCGGACUGAGCCUCAGAAGAUUCACGUCUUUUGUGCUGCUCGGGAAGAUUCCCAAACUUGAGCGUUUAGAGGAAGUAAAAGUCGUAACA
Molecule: ribosomal RNA, 326 nt
Filed under: uncultured eukaryote
Lineage: Eukaryota
Description: partial 18S ribosomal RNA
Rfam family: Eukaryotic small subunit ribosomal RNA
Source: RNAcentral